CCAGGUUUGACAUGCAGUAGACAGGUCUAGAGAUAGACUCUUCCUUCGGGACUGCUGCACAGGUGCUGCAUGGCUGUCGUCAGCUCGUGCCGUGAGGUGUUGGGUUAAGUCCCGCAACGAGCGCAACCCUUAUCAUUAGUUGCCAACAUUUAAGGUGGGAACUCUAAUGAGACUGCCUGGGUUAACCAGGAGGAAGGUGAGGAUGAUGUCAAGUCCGCAUGGCCCUUAUGUCCAGGGCUACACACGUGCUACAAUGGCCGGUACAAACCGUCGCAAACCCGUGAGGGGGAGCUAAUCGGAAAAAGCCGGCCUCAGUUCGGAUUGUAGUCUGCAACUCGACUACAUGAAGCUGGAAUCGCUAGUAAUCGCGGAUCAGAACGCCGCGGUGAAUACGUUCCC
Molecule: ribosomal RNA, 399 nt
Filed under: uncultured bacterium
Lineage: Bacteria
Description: bacterial SSU rRNA
Rfam family: Bacterial small subunit ribosomal RNA
Source: RNAcentral